GCAACAACUUCUGCCAUUUUCGGAUUCUUCGAGCCGUUCUGCCGGAAAGAUGUAACCCCGGCCCCGGCCUUCCCUUUUCACACCUACAGUGGUUUGAGUGGUUUGUCCCCUGCUCCUGCUUCAGCGUCUAGCGUAGUGAUGUGAUGAUCUUCGGCCCAGCUCAACCGCACCCGCGCGGCCACGAUGGGUUCGAAUCACAUGUUACUUCAGGCACAGUGGACGUCUCCUUAUAAAACCCCCUUUUUACGAUUUUCUCUUCCCGAUACUUGUAUCGACCACAGUGUCCGUCCUUCUCAUGAUCCGGCACAGUAUUAGUUGCGAAUAGCCGUGGGACCGACCCCUACAGUAGUGGACGCUAAACCUCAUCAUCUCCAUGCCGCUGUAUUAUUCGGACAGAAACUGAUGGUGUUGACCCAAUCCGAGCGCCACUGAUAUCAUCGCCACUUACCGGCUUCGCAGCGUAUCUUCCCCUAGCGUUUGGUCGGCCCUACAUCUCUCCCUCCAUCCAUCCGAGACAUGUUCGCAGAUCACCACGUGCGGACAUUUUGCGAUUCCUGCAAAUUUGCUUGCCGACCGCAAAUCCUAUUCAGUGCUCACAUACUCCAAAGAAACUCCGAAACAUUUCAGCGUCAACACCAAGCACUCAAUGAGACACACUCAUGUCAGUUCCAUGUCCUCCCGCACCGCGCUUAUGGAAAUCCACUGUGCUUGCCGCAUCCACUGCGGGAUGUACUAUGGACAUGAUGAUGUGCUAGGGUGUCUUAGAUCAACAACCUUCAUCCGGCUGUGAUGGCUCACAGAUUUCAUCACUCGAUUUUCUCCACCUACCAGGGACAUGUGAUGCUACAGCAGCUGAAAAAGUGAAAAGUGAUCGGAGUAACCACACGAACUGUUAACCCGAUCCAACUUGCUUUUUCCUUCCAUUAUGCACAACAUUCGAUCUUAGGGGAUGGCCGUUGAACAUUGCAACCUGUAUGGUUGCACUGGACUCGAUGUUACUCUCAAGGAUCACUAUCAAGCCGAGUGGCACGGAGCCAAACUCC
Molecule: non-coding RNA, 1043 nt
Organism: Neurospora crassa OR74A
Lineage: Eukaryota; Fungi; Ascomycota; Sordariomycetes; Sordariales; Sordariaceae
Source: RefSeq, a predicted model, not a curated record